RNAcentral lists this ribosomal RNA (612 nucleotides) under Levilactobacillus brevis. Its description in RNAcentral is "bacterial SSU rRNA". It matches the Rfam family "Bacterial small subunit ribosomal RNA", at positions 51 to 628 of the family's 1533-position model. The record is from RNAcentral. Lineage: Bacteria; Bacillati; Bacillota; Bacilli; Lactobacillales; Lactobacillaceae.
AUACAUGCAAGUCGAACGAGCUUCCGUUGAAUGACGUGCUUGCACUGAUUUCAACAAUGAAGCGAGUGGCGAACUGGUGAGUAACACGUGGGAAAUCUGCCCAGAAGCAGGGGAUAACACUUGGAAACAGGUGCUAAUACCGUAUAACAACAAAAUCCGCAUGGAUUUUGUUUGAAAGGUGGCUUCGGCUAUCACUUCUGGAUGAUCCCGCGGCGUAUUAGUUAGUUGGUGAGGUAAAGGCCCACCAAGACGAUGAUACGUAGCCGACCUGAGAGGGUAAUCGGCCACAUUGGGACUGAGACACGGCCCAAACUCCUACGGGAGGCAGCAGUAGGGAAUCUUCCACAAUGGACGAAAGUCUGAUGGAGCAAUGCCGCGUGAGUGAAGAAGGGUUUCGGCUCGUAAAACUCUGUUGUUAAAGAAGAACACCUUUGAGAGUAACUGUUCAAGGGUUGACGGUAUUUAACCAGAAAGCCACGGCUAACUACGUGCCAGCAGCCGCGGUAAUACGUAGGUGGCAAGCGUUGUCCGGAUUUAUUGGGCGUAAAGCGAGCGCAGGCGGUUUUUUAAGUCUGAUGUGAAAGCCUUCGGCUUAACCGGAGAAGUGCAUCG